Molecule: ribosomal RNA, 490 nt
Filed under: uncultured bacterium
Lineage: Bacteria
Description: partial 16S ribosomal RNA
Rfam family: Bacterial small subunit ribosomal RNA
Source: RNAcentral
AUUGAACGCUGGCGGCAUGCCUUACACAUGCAAGUCGAACGGCAGCAUGAUCUAGCUUGCUAGAUUGAUGGCGAGUGGCGAACGGGUGAGUAAUACAUCGGAACGUGCCCUGUAGUGGGGGAUAACUAGUCGAAAGAUUAGCUAAUACCGCAUACGACCUGAGGGUGAAAGUGGGGGACCGCAAGGCCUCAUGCUAUAGGAGCGGCCGAUGUCUGAUUAGCUAGUUGGUGAGGUAAAGGCUCACCAAGGCGACGAUCAGUAGCUGGUCUGAGAGGACGAUCAGCCACACUGGGACUGAGACACGGUCCAGACUCCUACGGGAGGCAGCAGUGGGGAAUUUUGGACAAUGGGCGAAAGCCUGAUCCAGCAAUGCCGCGUGUGUGAAGAAGGCCUUCGGGUUGUAAAGCACUUUUGUCCGGAAAGAAAUGGCUCUGGUUAAUACCUGGGGUCGAUGACGGUACCGGAAGAAUAAGGACCGGCUAACUACGUG